RNAcentral lists this ribosomal RNA (425 nucleotides) under uncultured bacterium. RNAcentral's name for it is "partial 16S ribosomal RNA". It matches the Rfam family "Bacterial small subunit ribosomal RNA", at positions 354 to 796 of the family's 1533-position model. The record is from RNAcentral.
GUGGGGAAUCUUGCGCAAUGGGCGAAAGCCUGACGCAGCCAUGCCGCGUGAAUGAUGAAGGUCUUAGGAUUGUAAAAUUCUUUCACCGGGGACGAUAAUGACGGUACCCGGAGAAGAAGCUCCGGCUAACUUCGUGCCAGCAGCCGCGGUAAUACGAAGGGGGCUAGCGUUGCUCGGAAUUACUGGGCGUAAAGGGCGCGUAGGCGGACAGCUUAGUCAGAGGUGAAAGCCCAGGGCUCAACCUUGGAAUUGCCUUUGAUACUGGCUGGCUUGAGUUUGGGAGAGGUGAGUGGAACUCCGAGUGUAGAGGUGAAAUUCGUAGAUAUUCGGAAGAACACCAGUGGCGAAGGCGACUCACUGGCCCAAUACUGACGCUGAGGCGCGAAAGCGUGGGGAGCAAACAGGAUUAGAUACCCCAGUAGUCC